Molecule: long non-coding RNA, 330 nt
Organism: Ochotona princeps (American pika)
Lineage: Eukaryota; Metazoa; Chordata; Mammalia; Lagomorpha; Ochotonidae
Exons: 3
Source: RefSeq, a predicted model, not a curated record
CGCGGUUGCAGAAGAUUGUGGGGAAAGAGCUAGAAGCAUUCUGUGCUCAGAUGGCUUCCUGUUUAUCUGAGAUUAGAUACUCCGCAAAUGCUUCUGUCAUGCAUACAGCAGUAAUUCAAGAGGAAUGGUUCUUGGGGCUGCUUCCCCAAGACCAGCACAAGCCCCACUGGGCACUGGAGCUUCUGAGUCAGAAGUGCUGGAGAUUAAGCUGAAUUUGGAGGAAACGGCCGCCGUUCUUUCCCCAUGUGUUGGUGGCAAUGUACGUUUGUCUCUAGUUCUGGAGGUCAGAGGGGACCUGUGGGGACAGGGACACCCCGGGCCACAGGGGUC